UACGUAGGGUGCAAGCGUUACUCGGAAUUACUGGGCGUAAAGCGUGCGCAGGCGGCUUUGCAAGUCAGAUGUGAAAUCCCCGGGCUUAACCUGGGAACUGCAUUUGUUACUGCAUGGCUGGAGUGCGGCAGAGGAGGAUGGAAUUCCGCGUGUAGCAGUGAAAUGCGUAGAUAUGCGGAGGAACACCGAUGGCGAAGGCAAUCCCCUGGGCCGGCACUGACGCUCAUGCACGAAAGCGUGGGGAGCAAACAGG
This 253-nucleotide ribosomal RNA is filed under the name uncultured bacterium. Its description in RNAcentral is "partial 16S ribosomal RNA". It matches the Rfam family "Bacterial small subunit ribosomal RNA", at positions 524 to 776 of the family's 1533-position model. The record is from RNAcentral.